AGAUUGAACGCUGGCGGCAUGCCUAACACAUGCAAGUCGAACGGGAGUAGCAAUACUCUAGUGGCGGACGGGUGAGGAAUACGUAGGAAUUUGCCCUUAAGUGGGGGAUAACCCGGGGAAACCCGGAUUAAUACCGCAUGACCUCGAAAGAGCAAAGUGGGGGAUCGCAAGACCUCACGCUUUUGGAGAAGCCUACGUCGGAUUAGCUAGUUGGUGAGGUAAUGGCUCACCAAGGCGACGAUCCGUAACUGGUCUGAGAGGAUGAUCAGUCACACCGGAACUGAGACACGGUCCGGACUCCGACGGGAGGCAGCAGUGGGAAUAGUUGGACAAUGGGCGCAAGCCUGAUCCAGCAAUGCCGCGUGUGUGAAGAGGCCGUUCGGUGUAAGACUACGUUUAAGUUAGGGAAGAAAAACGUCGACU
Molecule: ribosomal RNA, 423 nt
Filed under: uncultured soil bacterium
Lineage: Bacteria
Description: bacterial SSU rRNA
Rfam family: Bacterial small subunit ribosomal RNA
Source: RNAcentral